ACCUCUCCUCCUCACAAUCCUACUCAACCACAAGGCAAGCGCCGCACAUGCAAAACUCACAGAAGCGCGCAAAGACACCUACCCAUACAGAAUAAGAAAUCGCUCUUGAAUACUCACCCCGCCACCUCUUCAGAAGAGUUUCUCUCUCUCUGCCUGUGCCCCCACCACCACCACCAUCAUCACCACUCCUCUCAAUCCGUCCCUCUUGGCGCUAUCGACUGUCAUGAUGUCCAAACCGCAUCACGCCACGCUGGAGUCGAUCAAGUACACGCCUGGCUCAUUGCGACUGCUGGAUCAGCGCAAGCUGCCUCUCGAGACCGUAUUCGACGAUGUUCUCACCGUGGAGGAUAUUUGGUCGGCCAUCAACGAGAUGCGCGUCCGUGGCGCUCCGGCGAUCGCUGUCAGUGCAGCUCUCGGCAUUGCCGUGGCGACACAGAGAAAAGUUGCCAACGGCGAGCUCAAGAGCGGUAGUGAGGUGCAGGCCUUCUUCCUGUCGAGCUGUGACUUCGUGAUGACUAGCAGGCCGACCGCCGUGAACCUCUUCAACUGUCUACGCGACCUUAAGGAGCAGGUGGAAAAGCUUGACCCGACCAAGGCCGCUGCCGAGGUGGCGCAGGCCUGUGUAGAGCUGGCGGAGGCGGUGUACACAAAGGAUGUGGCCUUCAACGAGGGCAUUAUGCGGCACGGCGCAGCGCAUAUUUUAGCCGUUGCCAAGGCCGAAGGCCGCGACAAGGUGAGCAUUCUCACCAUCUGUAACACAGGCGCCCUCGCGACGUCACGCUACGGCACGGCACUCGGCGUCGUGCGCCAACUCUUCUACGACGGCAAACUCGAGAGGGUGUACGCGUGUGAGACUCGGCCGUGGAACCAGGGUGCUCGACUCACGGUGUACGAGUGUGUGCAGGAGGGCAUCCCGUGCACGCUCAUCUGCGACGGCGCGGCCUCGUCACUCAUGCUGAAUCGCAAGAUCGACGCCGUCGUCGUUGGUGCCGACCGCAUUUGCCAGAACGGUGACACGGCGAACAAGAUCGGCACUUACAACUUAGCGGUGUCGGCCAAGUUUCACGGGGUGAAACUCUACGUAGCCGCUCCUUCGACGACGCUGGACGCGAAGACCGCGAGCGGCAACCGUGUCGAGAUCGAGGAGCGCGAGCCGACGGAAAUCACAACGAACAUGGUGACAAAGCAGCGCGUCGUGGCGGAUGGACCACACCUGUCCGUCUGGAACCCCGUCUUCGACAUCACGCCAGGUGAACUGAUCACUGGCGGCAUCAUCACAGAAAAGGGUGUGCAGGCGCCCACGGCGAGCGCCCCGUACUACGACAUAGCGUCUAUCAUCGCCCAGCCAUGAAGAGGUGCAGGGAUGUGGAAUGAGGAAUCGGUGGCCUCCUGGAGAGCGCUCUAGUUGCUCUCUGCGGGCCACACGCGCUUUUUUCCCUUUUUUUUAUGCUCAACGUGCCCAUUCUCUGCCACGCAGUGCUAGCUUACAUGUCAAUCUACCGUCCACCGGCCCCCCGUGACAUGCCUUCCCCCACCCCAUUCGCGUGGUGCGAAUCAGCGCUAAACAUGAACGUGCUGCAGCAGUGCGCUGAGCUGGUUAUGUGGGCGCGGCCCCCUGCCUCGAACUCUGCCCAUCCACGCCGCAGGUCGCCUCACAGCUGUUCCCCUCGUGCCGGUCGCAACGUGGCGCGCGGCCCCCCUCUCGAGGAGGCGCACUGAGGCUCCCCACACCACUAGGUAGUGAGUAACCGGGUGUGAGAUACGUUCCGACUCGGUGGGCAGUAUGCGUGUUAUGCGCGCAGCGCAGACGCACUCCCUGCCACAGAUCUCUCCGAUGCAACGCCAUCCAGUGCCUGGCGGCCGGCGGCAGCAGCGAUACAUUGCUCUGUACUUUGCACGUCUUCGGCGCUUGACCCUGUCGCCACUAG
This 1928-nucleotide unclassified non-coding RNA is filed under the name Leishmania donovani. RNAcentral describes it as "gene:LdHU3.36.6910(CDS-product:translation_initia tion_factor_2_subunit_putative)". The record is from RNAcentral. Lineage: Eukaryota; Euglenozoa; Kinetoplastea; Trypanosomatida; Trypanosomatidae.